CACGUAGUUAGCCGUCCCUUUCUGGUAAGCUACCGUCACAGUGUGAACUUUCCACUCUCACACCCGUUCUUGACUUACAACAGAGCUUUACGAUCCGAAAACCUUCUUCACUCACGCGGCGUUGCUCGGUCAGGGUUGCCCCCAUUGCCGAAGAUUCCCUACUGUUGCCUCCCGUAGGAGUCUGGGCCGUGUCUCAGUCCCAGUGUGGCCGAUCACCCUCUCAGGUCGGCUAUGUAUCGUCGCCUAGGUGAGCCAUUACCUCACCUACUAGCUAAUACAACGCAGGUCCAUCUUGUAGUGGAGCAAUUGCCCCUUUCAAAUAAAUGACAUGUGUCAUCCAUUGUUAUGCGGUAUUAGCUAUCGUUUCCAAUAGUUAUCCCCGCUACAAGGCAGGUUACCUACGCGUUACUCACCCGUUCGCAACUCAUCCAAGAAGAGCAAGCUCCUCUCUUCAGCGUUCUACUUGCAUGUAUUAGGCACGCCGCAGCGUCGU
RNAcentral lists this ribosomal RNA (493 nucleotides) under uncultured Streptococcus sp. RNAcentral's name for it is "partial 16S ribosomal RNA". The record is from RNAcentral. Lineage: Bacteria; Bacillati; Bacillota; Bacilli; Lactobacillales; Streptococcaceae.